Molecule: transfer RNA, 90 nt
Filed under: bacterium
Lineage: Bacteria
Description: tRNA-Ser
Rfam family: tRNA
About the family: Transfer RNA (tRNA) molecules are approximately 80 nucleotides in length. Their secondary structure includes four short double-helical elements and three loops (D, anti-codon, and T loops).
Source: RNAcentral
GGAGAGGUGUCCGAGUGGUUGAAGGAACAUGUCUUGAAAACAUGCGUGUCGGAAACGAUACCGAGGGUUCGAAUCCCUCCCUCUCCGCCA